Loxodonta africana (African savanna elephant) is the source of this 1225-nucleotide long non-coding RNA. RefSeq lists it as uncharacterized. The transcript is spliced from 3 exons. The record is from RefSeq and is a predicted model, not a curated record. Lineage: Eukaryota; Metazoa; Chordata; Mammalia; Proboscidea; Elephantidae.
UUUUAACACACACAAUGUUUUAUUUAAAGGUCUAACUGAUAAAAUGUGGAAUGAUUUUAAUGUAAUGAAAGACUUGGCUCUUCAUACAAGAUUAACUUCAGGACAAAGGCAGCACAAAGUAGGAAGACUCAUUGAUUCUAUUCAUAAGGAUGACAGUGUUCAGUGGGAGCUUCAAGACCGGGGUUUGAGCUUUGACUCCAACUUCCUGUCCUCCCGAGAAAGAAUUUUGCAAGCAGAAAAGAUUUCACCAAGGUGGAAAAACAUUUAAUUACAAUCCACAAUUUGCAGACUGGUCAAAAGAAACCAGCAGAGACCUGGAAGCAGGAGAUGGUGGGGUGGGCUUCCUGGCCCACAGAGAGAGAAGGCUUGAGUGCUGAGGGCCAGUGAGAGGCAUGCCUACAAGCAUGGCUGGGAAGAGACUGUUCCGAAGAAAGAACUGUAUCCUGAGUGUUCCUGAACUGGAAUUGUAACCUGUUACUUCUCUAAUAAACCCCAUAAUCGUGAGUAUUGUCUUUGAGCUCUUUGUGGCCAUUGCAAUGAAUUAUUGAACCCAGCAGAGAAGUAGAGAGUACCAUGGGAGGGAUAGUUGGUGUCAGAAUUAGUAAAGAUGGUGGAGAGAGGAGGCAUGUCUGACCUCUACCUCAUAGGAGUCAACCUUGAGCUGUUGAUCUUGUUUCUCUUUCCCCCUUAUGAAGUUAGAGGUCAGACACUGCCCCCAUGCCAUUUUUAUGGAUGCUCUGCUAAAUAGUGUCAAGCCACUAAAUAACUGGCUGUUGGUCUAUACUGGAAGGAAUUAUAAAACAGCUGAUUCAUUGAUACAAAACCUAUUUAAGGUCAUGCCAGUCAUGGGAAUACAAAUGAAAAAAUCAGUAAUAUAAGUUUAUUGAGUGCUUUCUACCCUGCAAAUUGACUUGUAGUCAUACAGAGGGUUGGGAGAGCUCAAAGUGAUGUUGGUUAUUGUUGUUGUUAGGCUCUGUUGAGUCGCUUCUGACUCCUAGCAGCAUUUGCCGUCCUUAUAAGCAUUGCUGUGUUUGAGCCUAUUGUUACAGUUGCUGUGUCAAUCCAUCUAGUCUAGAAGUCUAGAGUUUUCCUCUUUUUCGUUGACCCUCUACCUUACCAAGCAUAAUGUUCUUCUCCAGGGACUGGUUUCUCCUGAUAACAUGUCCAAAUUAUGUGAGACCAAGUCUCCCCAUCCUCACUUCCAAGGAGCAUUUAGGCUGUCCUC